Molecule: long non-coding RNA, 760 nt
Filed under: Marmota monax (woodchuck)
Lineage: Eukaryota; Metazoa; Chordata; Mammalia; Rodentia; Sciuridae
Source: RNAcentral
AUAACAACAGUGGAACCAGGUUCUAAGUCAGUAUCCAUGUCAGACUGGGAACCUGAGCCACACCAGAAACCUAUAACCCAGCCAGAGCCCUCAGCCAACUCAGGAUUGAAACCUCAGCACGAAUCCAAUACCCAACAGGAGUUUGCAUCACAGCAAAGACGCCUCACCCAGCAGGAGCCCCUUGCCCCAAAUGAAGCUGAAUUCCAGCAAGAAACUAGAGCCCAACAAAAAUCUGCUUUGCACCUGAAAUUUCUUAAACUACAGAAAUCACCCUCCAUCCCACUACAGAAAUCACCCUCCACCCAAAAGGUGUACGCCAAACAACAGGAAGCUGCCUCUCAGCAAGGACAUGGCCCAGGACAAGCGUGUACAACUCAACAGGAACCAGAAUUGAGAGACAGAGAUGUAGCCCAGUCAGGAUCUAGACCAUCUCUAGCUCAACAAGAUGCAGAAUUAACACCUACCACCCAGGCUAUCCCUGGACUCAAAAAGAGACCAUCUGUCCAGGCUGAAUUUACAUCCCAAGAAAGAACUGAACAGUCAGACCACACAGCCCAGCAAGUACCUCCAACCCAGCAAACCAAAUCCAGGAAGGGAUUUUUGACUGAGUGGAAAUUUCUAACAAGACUGUACGAAGUCACUACACAGCAAGUAACUCAAGAACAGAAGACAUUUUUUGAACGCCUCACAGAUUAUGACUUAGAAUCAAAUGGGAGGCCAUCUUCAGAGACAGAUCCGCCAAGUAUGAGGGAUGGAACAA